UACGUAGGGUGCGAGCGUUGUCCGGAAUUACUGGGCGUAAAGAGCUCGUAGGCGGUUCGUCGCGUCGGCUGUGAAAUCCCGAGGCUCAACCUCGGGUCUGCAGUCGAUACGGGCGGACUGGAGUUCGGCAGGGGAGACUGGAAUUCCUGGUGUAGCGGUGAAAUGCGCAGAUAUCAGGAGGAACACCGGUGGCGAAGGGCGGGUCUCUGGGCCGAUACUGACGUGAGGAGCGAAAGCGUGGGGAGCGAACAGG
RNAcentral lists this ribosomal RNA (253 nucleotides) under uncultured bacterium. RNAcentral's name for it is "partial 16S ribosomal RNA". It matches the Rfam family "Bacterial small subunit ribosomal RNA", at positions 524 to 776 of the family's 1533-position model. The record is from RNAcentral.